CGUAGGGUGCGAGCGUUAAUCGGAAUUACUGGGCGUAAAGCGUGCGCAGGCGGUUUUGUAAGACAGAUGUGAAAUCCCCGGGCUCAACCUGGGACCUGCAUUUGUGACUGCAAGGCUAGAGUACGGUAGAGGGGGAUGGAAUUCCGCGUGUAGCAGUGAAAUGCGUAGAUAUGCGGAGGAACACUGAUGGCGAAGGCAAUCCCCUGGACCUGUACUGACGCUCAUGCACGAAAGCGUGGGGAGCAAACAGGAUUAGAUACCCUGGUAGUCCACGCCCUAAACGAUGUCAACUGGUUGUUGGGUCUUUACUGACUCAGUAACGAAGCUAACGCGUGAAGUUGACCGCCUGGGGAGUACGGCCGCAAGGUUG
RNAcentral lists this ribosomal RNA (370 nucleotides) under uncultured organism. Its description in RNAcentral is "bacterial SSU rRNA". It matches the Rfam family "Bacterial small subunit ribosomal RNA", at positions 526 to 896 of the family's 1533-position model. The record is from RNAcentral.